Molecule: ribosomal RNA, 517 nt
Filed under: uncultured bacterium
Lineage: Bacteria
Description: bacterial SSU rRNA
Rfam family: Bacterial small subunit ribosomal RNA
Source: RNAcentral
UAGUCCACGCCGUAAACGAUGAUUACUCGUUGUUGGCAAUACAUCGUCAGCGACUGAGCGAAAGCAUUAAGUAAUCCGCCUGGGGAGUACGAUCGCAAGAUUGAAACUCAAAGGAAUUGACGGGGGCCCGCACAAGCGGUGGAACAUGUGGUUUAAUUCGAUGAUACGCGAGGAACCUUACCUGGGCUUAAAUGCAGAACGACAGUUCCCGAAAGGGAUCUUUCUUCGGACGGACUGCAAGGUGCUGCAUGGUUGUCGUCAGCUCGUGCCGUGAGGUGUCGGGUUAAGUCCCAUAACGAGCGCAACCCCUAUCGUUAGUUGCCAGCGAGUAAUGUCGGGGACUCUAACGAAACUGCCGGUGUAAGCCGAGAGGAAGGUGGGGAUGACGUCAAAUCAGCACGGCCCUUAUGUCCAAGGCUACACACGUGUUACAAUGGUCGGUACAAAGGGCAGCUACCUAGUGAUAGGAUGCUAAUCUCAAAAACCGGUCUCAGUUCGGAUUGAAGUCUGCAACUCG